RNA transcript from Coffea eugenioides, 1931 nucleotides. It is a transcript of the gene named probable LRR receptor-like serine/threonine-protein kinase At3g47570, with no coding region annotated. The transcript is spliced from 3 exons. The record is from RefSeq and is a predicted model, not a curated record. Lineage: Eukaryota; Viridiplantae; Streptophyta; Magnoliopsida; Gentianales; Rubiaceae.
CUCCAUUGGGAAUCUUAAUCUGCUAAAUGUUCUUGAAAUGCAAGAGAAUACAUUAGAAGGAAGCAUACCUAUUUCUCUGGGUAACUGUAAAGUAUUGCAACACUUGGAUCUUUCACAGAAUAGAAUUACUGGUGCAAUACUUGAAGAACUUACGGGCCUUCAAUCAUUCACUCUCAGUCUUUCUGAACUUAGCUCAGAACUGUCUCAGUGGACUUUUACCAACAGGGGUGGGUAACUUGAUAAAUCUUGGGAGAUUGGAUGUUUCAAACAAUAGAUUGUCUGGAGAGCUUCCAUCCUCCCUUGGCUUUUGUGAAGUUUUGGAGUUUCUGAGUCUGCAGGGCAACCUUUUUAAAGGCCCAAUUCCAUCAUCAUUGCAUCUAUUGAGAGGAAUUCAACUUCAAGAUCUUUCUAGAAAUUCUCUCUCUGGUAACAUUCCUGUGAGUCUUGCACUGUUUCGCUUGAUACAGUUUCUGAAUCCUUCUUAUGAUAUGUUGGAAGGAGAAGUGCCAAACGAAGGUCUUUUUAUGAACUCUACAAUGUUUUCCAUUGCUGGAAGUGAAAAGCCAUAUGGAAGUUUAGAGUCCGCAAAUAGCAAGUUUAACUUGAUUGGAGUUUUGAUCUUCACGUUUGAUGGUUUCCUUGUUUCUUUUCUCCUAGCAUACCUAACUGCUUUCUGCUGCUCCACAAGAAAGAGCAGAAUUUCUAGUACAUCUUCAGACUCUCCUCUGGGAGAUCAAUAUCUUAAACUUUCUUAUACAGAACUUCAUCAAGCUGCUGAUGGCUUUUUCCAACCAAUUUAAUUGCUGAGGGAAGAUAUAGUUCUAUCUACAAGGGAAUUUUCGAGUACAGUGAAGGAGCAGUUUCUGUGAAGGUACUGAACCUUCAACACUGAGGAACCAGAAAAGAGUUUUAUGCCUGAAUGUGAAGCUCUGAGGAAAAUUCGUCGCAGAAAUCUAGUCAAGAUAAUUACAUCUUUCUCAAGCAUUGAUUUCAGAGGCAACGAGUUCAAAGCCUUGGUUUAUGGGUUCAUGGCUAACGGGAGUUUGGAAAACUGGUUACAUCCAAAUUCUUCUAACUUACUGCAGCCAAAGAACUUGAACUUUAUUUGGAGGUUAAACAUUGCUGUAGAUGUUGCCUCAGCAUUAGAGUAUAUUCACCACUGCUGUGAAAUCCCACCCAAUCAUCGUGACAUAAAGCCAAGUAACCUGCUUCUCACUGAGCAACUUUGCGCUCAUUUAAGUGACUUUGGCUUUGCAAGUUGGUUGAGGUCACUGAUUUUCUUAUUUCAAUCUUCAAUUGUCACUCAUACUCAAACCAGAAGAUGUGCCAGUCAUAAAAUUGAAAGGUGUUUGGCUUCUUCUUUCCAUGUCAGAGUUUCGAGUUCAGCUCAGAGGCCAAGAGAAAGGAUGGAUGCAGUGGAUGCAUUGAUGAACCUAUAGGCGGCUAGGGAUGUAGUUUUUAAGCAUGAAUGCUCAAAAAUGAAGUGUCGUUUACUGCUCAUUCCCCAUCAAAAGUUGUUGAUAGUGCAGAUGAAAUUAGUGAAGGAUACCCGCUCCUGGGAAAUUGGAUACGUACGGCAAAAGGGAUUUUGACCAAAGGCCUAAGAGAGAGCUAGAGCCCAACAUCAGGGAGCAACGUUUACAAGGAAAACUGUAGGUAUCCACAGCAGCUGGAUUAAAAUUCUGGGAACAUUUCUCAUUUUUCAAACUACAUCCCCAUAGUCACUAGCUGUAAGAGAGUGAUUCUACAUUUACUUGCAAGUCGUAACCAGAAUUCUUAUCAGGAGGAGCUGAAAUGUCAUUGUGUGGUGUGAGCCAAGCUGCAAUGGGAGCCUGACAAACUAAAUAUAAUUUGUCAAGUUUCCAGCAAAUCUGGCAUUGGCACUACAUUAGCCAAAAUAAACAGUAGUUUAUUUCCCAAAAGGAGGUACU